UUAAUAAGCGGAGGAAAAGAAACUAACUAGGAUUGGUUUAGUAACGGCGAGUGAAGUGCCAAAAGCCCAUGUUGUGAAUCAAUGCAAAUUGAAUUGUGGUUGUCAUAUUCAUUCGGCUUGUGGACAAAGUCCCCUGGAAUGGGGCAGCCAAGAGGGUGAGACUCCCAUUAGUCCAUAUGGCAUGAGAAUUGACUUUGGAGUCGAGUUGUUUGGGAUUGCAGCUCUAAUUGGGUGGUAAAUUCCAUCCAAGGCAAAAUACUGGUGAGAGACCGAUAGCGUACAAGUACCGUGAGGGAAAGAUGCAAAGCCGCGCGAAAGCGCUGUCAAAGAGUACCUGAACUUGCUGAAAUGGAAGCAAAGGAAAUCAGUGCCAACUAAACCGCACUUCCUCUGUUGCUUGCAAAAGAGGCGCUGCGACUAGUGUUGUCCCAAUGGGGUGGUAGGUAGGAGAAGCUAAAAGGCCU
RNAcentral lists this ribosomal RNA (464 nucleotides) under Epithemia contorta. Its description in RNAcentral is "eukaryotic LSU rRNA". It matches the Rfam family "Eukaryotic large subunit ribosomal RNA", at positions 43 to 529 of the family's 3401-position model. The record is from RNAcentral. Lineage: Eukaryota; Bacillariophyta; Bacillariophyceae; Surirellales; Surirellaceae.